GGAGUGGUAGCUCAGAUUGGGAGAGCGCUCGACUGAAGAUCGAGCGGUCGGGGGUUCAAAUCCCCCCCACUCCACC
This 76-nucleotide transfer RNA is filed under the name archaeon. RNAcentral's name for it is "tRNA-Phe". It matches the Rfam family "tRNA". Rfam says of the family: Transfer RNA (tRNA) molecules are approximately 80 nucleotides in length. Their secondary structure includes four short double-helical elements and three loops (D, anti-codon, and T loops). Further hydrogen bonds mediate the characteristic L-shaped molecular structure. tRNAs have two regions of fundamental functional importance: the anti-codon, which is responsible for specific mRNA codon recognition, and the 3' end, to which the tRNAs corresponding amino acid is attached (by aminoacyl-tRNA synthetases). tRNAs cope with the degeneracy of the genetic code in two manners: having more than one tRNA (with a specific anti-codon) for a particular amino acid; and 'wobble' base-pairing, i.e. permitting non-standard base-pairing at the 3rd anti-codon position. RNAcentral also lists the same sequence under 3 other names. The record is from RNAcentral.